This 22-nucleotide transfer RNA is filed under the name Doronicum altaicum. RNAcentral's name for it is "partial tRNA-Phe". The record is from RNAcentral. Lineage: Eukaryota; Viridiplantae; Streptophyta; Magnoliopsida; Asterales; Asteraceae.
GUCGGGAUAGCUCAGUCGGUAG